UAGUCCACGCCGUAAACGAUGGUCACUAGCUGUCCGGUUUUCGAACUGGGUGGCCAAGCGAAAGUGAUAAGUGACCCACCUGGGGAGUACGUCGGCAACGAUGAAACUCAAAGGAAUUGACGGGGGCCCGCACAAGCGGUGGAGCAUGUGGUUUAAUUCGAUGAUACGCGAGGAACCUUACCAGGGCUUAAAUGUAGAUUGCAUUAGGUAGAGAUACUUAUUUCUUCGGACUAUCUACAAGGUGCUGCAUGGUUGUCGUCAGCUCGUGCCGUGAGGUGUCAGGUUAAGUCCUAUAACGAGCGCAACCCCUGUUGUUAGUUGCCAGCGAGUCAAGUCGGGAACUCUAACAAGACUGCCAGUGCAAACUGUGAGGAAGGUGGGGAUGACGUCAAAUCAUCACGGCCCUUACGUCCUGGGCUACACACGUGCUACAAUGGUAGGGACAGAGAGCAGCCACUGGGUGACCAGGAGCGAAUCUAUAAACCCUAUCACAGUUCGGAUCGGAGU
This 507-nucleotide ribosomal RNA is filed under the name uncultured bacterium. RNAcentral's name for it is "bacterial SSU rRNA". It matches the Rfam family "Bacterial small subunit ribosomal RNA", at positions 791 to 1304 of the family's 1533-position model. The record is from RNAcentral.